CCGAGUGCUAGCAUCAUAUGCUGGCUGUCCAGGUGUGUAAACUACACCUGUUAGCAAGGGCCGGGCAAGACCGGUGCCAGCCGCCGCGGUAACACCGGCGGCCCGAGUGGUGAUCGUGAUUAUUGGGUCUAAAGGGUCCGUAGCCGGUUUGGUCAGUCCUCCGGGAAAUCUNAUAGCUCAACUAUUAGGCUUUCGGGGGAUACUGCCAGACUUGGAACCGGGAGAGGUAAGAGGUACUACAGGGGUAGGAGUGAAAUCUUGUAAUCCCUGUGGGACCACCUGUGGCGAAGGCGUCUUACCAGAACGGGUUCGACGGUGAGGGACGAAAGCUGGGGGCACGAACCGGAUUAGAUACCCGGGUAGUCCCAGCCGUAAACGAUGCUCGCUAGGUGUCAGGCAUGGCGCGACCGUGUCUGGUGCCGCAGGGAAGCCGUGAAGCGAGCCACCUGGGAAGUACGGCCGCAAGGCUGAAACUUAAAGGAAUUG
Molecule: ribosomal RNA, 486 nt
Filed under: uncultured archaeon
Lineage: Archaea
Description: bacterial SSU rRNA
Rfam family: Archaeal small subunit ribosomal RNA
Source: RNAcentral